RNAcentral lists this unclassified non-coding RNA (225 nucleotides) under Hevea brasiliensis (rubber tree). The record is from RNAcentral. Lineage: Eukaryota; Viridiplantae; Streptophyta; Magnoliopsida; Malpighiales; Euphorbiaceae.
AAUUAAACUCAUCGACAAUCUCACGGAUUAACGCAAACUCCUCUUCCAAAUUAGCGUUCCAUACUUCACGGAUUUGAAUCGAAUCGCCUUUGGGUAAAAUCGACAUUCCUCCAAGGUCAACACAAUAGGAGUAACAAAACAACAAAACCCUAGAAAAAAGAUGGCGAACAGAGGUGGAGAUCUGAGAAGAAACAAGUGGGGGCGUCGGAAAACCAACGCCAGAGU